GCGUCAGUAGUGUAAACGGAAUAGAGCACGCGCUCCCGGGAAGAGCACGCGCUCCCGGAAAGAGCGAGGUGCGGGUUCUAGUCCCGCCUGACGCA
Molecule: non-coding RNA, 95 nt
Organism: Parelaphostrongylus tenuis
Lineage: Eukaryota; Metazoa; Nematoda; Chromadorea; Rhabditida; Metastrongylidae
Source: the annotation of a GenBank genome assembly